CCUACGGGAGGCAGCAGUGAGGAAUAUUGGUCAAUGGACGAGAGUCUGAACCAGCCAAGUAGCGUGAAGGAUGACUGCCCUAUGGGUUGUAAACUUCUUUUAUAUGGGAAUAAAACGUUCCACGUGUGGGAUUUUGUAUGUACCAUAUGAAUAAGGAUCGGCUAACGCCGUGCCAGCAGCCGCGGUAAUACGGAGGAUCCGAUCGUUAUCCGGAUUUAUUGGGUUUAAAGGGAGCGUAGGUGGAUUGUUAAGUCAGUUGUGAAAGUUUGCGGCUCAACCGUAAAAUUGCAGUUGAAACUGGCAGUCUUGAGUACAGUAGAGGUGGGCGGAAUUCGUGGUGUAGCGGUGAAAUGCUUAGAUAUCACGAAGAACUCCGAUUGCGAAGGCAGUUCACUGGACUGCAACUGACACUGAGGCUCGAAAGUGUGGGUAUCAAACAGGAUUAGAUACCCCAGUAGUC
Molecule: ribosomal RNA, 460 nt
Filed under: uncultured bacterium
Lineage: Bacteria
Description: partial 16S ribosomal RNA
Rfam family: Bacterial small subunit ribosomal RNA
Source: RNAcentral